Molecule: long non-coding RNA, 2929 nt
Filed under: Canis lupus familiaris (dog)
Lineage: Eukaryota; Metazoa; Chordata; Mammalia; Carnivora; Canidae
Description: lncRNA (ENSCAFG00000055424.1)
Source: RNAcentral
AUUUAUUAAUUUGUCAUUACACAAACAAUACAUGAAUGCAUACUCAAAAACAUCGAAUAUUACAGUUAAAGCUAAUGCACUCCACCAAACUACUGUUAACAGUUUGGUUAGUAUCCUUCCAGACCUUCUCUGUACAUUUUUAUAAUAUACAAAUAGGUACUUAAGAAGUACACUAUACAGUAUUUGUGUGUGUGUGUGUUUUAAAAUCAAUGGUAUCACAUGUAUUGCAUGUAUUAGCCUUCAUUUUCCCCCAAACUUAAAAAAAAUUAUUGUAUCUUAGAGACCUUUCCAUGUCAGUAUGCGUAUGAAUCUUACUCUUUUUCAUUGAUGCCCAGUAUUGUAUAUUGUUCCAUCCUCUUGAUUUUUUUUUUAACAAUUUUAUUCUAUUACAAAGGUACACUUGACACCAUUGUACACGCCACCCUGUGAAAACAGGUAUGAAAAGUGUUUCAUUAAAAAACGGAAAUGUUGGGUGAGAGGGCAUUUGAAUUUUAAAUUUUAGUGGGGACCAUUCGAUUGCCUUUAAAGGUAGCUGUGCCAAUUUACACAUUCCCUAACAAUGUAGGAUUCCUGUUUUUCCACACCCUGGCAAGACUUGUGACUUACAUAUAUUUUAAAUAUUUGCCAAUUGGAUUUGAGAUACUUUCUUAUUUUUUUAAGUAAGUGCAUUUCCCUUAUUCUGCUGAGGUCGGGCCUCUCUUCAUAAUUUUGUAAAACUUUUUGCUUAUCCGCCUUUUCACAGGGAGAUUUCUAUAAGGGAUAUGUGACCAAAAAGCCUAAGACCUCCUGCUUGUCUAGCUGGAAUUACUUUUUGUGAGCUAGAGAUCUCAAUUUUUUUUCCCCCAAAUAGUUAUGUCAUCUCAAUACUAUUUGUUGAAUAAUCCAUUCUCCCCCUACUGAUUUGAAAUGUUACUUUUAUCCUUUACUCAGUACAAAGUUGUUUCUGGAUUCUCAGCUCUAUCAGAUUUAUUUUUGGCAUCAGGCACCUGAGUUAUUCUUAACUUGGUUCGUUGAAUGGUAGCUGAUUUUGUCAGCCAAGAUAGUGAGUGUGUUCCUUAUGAGACAAUAGAUAAUAUAACUCAUGACACACAAAUUCUAUUCUAGUUAAGUUUGAUUUAAAUCAGUUCCAUUAUCUACAAACUUAGAAUAUUAAAAAAUGUGUAAACUUCUCUCUUUUAGGGGACGCCUCACAGGCUCGCUGUAGAGAUAGGAAGCUUUUCACCAAGUCCCCUCGUUUUAAAAGUAUUGUUUGAUGUUAAAGCUUUUUGGUGAUUUAAAGUUGUUUCCUGGCAAUGUCAAAGGGUUUCAUGUGGCAUGGCAAUAUCCCUGUUGAUUUACAUGAACCUUUCAUUCAACAGAUUAUAUGAGGUCCACAAACCAUGACACAUACUUUGAAUAAGCAAUGGCACUUUAGUUUUUGCUUUUACAUUGGACGAUAGCUCCUGGAGUGCACAAAUCAUGUUCCAUUUAUCUUCCUAUCCCCCAAUAUCUAGUCCAGGGUGCAGCACCUGAAUUGAAAUAGAAUUGAAGUGCAUUUCGACAAUGUUUCUAUAAAAUAAAAAAAUAAAACCCAAACUUCUCAAAAAGCAAAAACCUUGAGGGGAUUUACAAAGUUACAUGUACUUAUUUUUCUGUCCAUCAGACACCUGAUUAAAUUACAUAUUAUUAUGUAUUUUAGUAGAAACACUAGAAUAAGACACUGACCUGAUAUUAUUUCAUGCCAAGUGUGAGAAAAAUAUUCCUUUGCUGUCCAUGGACGUCCUCAGGUGUGAUCUAUCUAUAGAUGAGAUGCUUGUCUGUGAAACGAUAAGAAGUGUGAUCUGGAAAACAGUUGGAUUGCACUGGGCAAGAAUACUGUACAGUUGUUAUAUAGAAAAAUGAAAAGGUAACAACUUUUUUUUCUGGGGGGGGGGGAACAGAAGUGCGGCAUUUGCCCUAUUUUAAAAUUCAGUUACUUUUAUGAUCUAAGUUGGCACACCUUUUCCUUCCCCCUAUCAAGGAGGUAACUGGCUUCUGUGGGCAAUGUCUUUGUCCGUAAAUUUAGAUGCUCUGUUUUAUAGCUCAAACCAUGGCAUCAGAUCAUGGGAAAAUGCUCAAAACUGCCCAAUCUAUCAGUUUCUCUGGUGAGAAGAAGAAAAAAAAAAUAAAGCUAACUCGCUCUGUGGAACAAAUUUUAUGACCAAGUAGACUGUGUCGGUGCAAAAUACCAACUUCAUACUUUACUCUUACCAAUCCUGUCUUACUUUUAUUUAUGAUGAUUCUUGAAAAAAAAAAAAGUCUAUGACCUUUAACUUGCUUUGUACAGUACCUCACUUAGCAUCUUUCAUCUGCGAACAAAGCAGGUUAGACCAAUUAUAUCCCACCAAGGAGAUCAUUAAAUAGCACUUGUGCAGUAAUAUUCUCUGCUGACAAAGGAAUACAUACAUUCAAAGAACACAUUUUGCUAUAGAAAUUCUGUGACUUCAGCAUAGAAAUACAUGUAACAGGGAAGCAACCUAGACGAUUGAAAAGGAGAAAAUAGGGCGCAAAUAUACGUCACUAAACAAGAAGUCCUUAGUAUUGCUAGAAAAUAGAAACAGGAGUUCCGAGGUUUGAGGCGGCCGGAGGUGGGGAGACAGGUGGUUUUGCUAGGCAGCAGACUCCCAGGAAAGAGAAGCCCUCCUGGGUCGAACCGUGUCAAAGAAUGAAUUAAAGUCGAAGCCAGCAAAACCUAUUUUGACUUGGGUUUCGGUAUCUGCAGCGGGGCCAGAACCCGCAUUCUCCUUUUUGGGGAGGGAUAGCCCUGAACGGCAGGCUUGGGACUCCUGCUUCUGGGCCGCUCUAAUCCUAGUCACCAUAAAAGGACUAAGUUUGGUUUACCUGCGGGGAUGAACUGACUGAGGCAUAAAUGUGAUAGCCAGGGUUCCUCCAUUCUCCUUACCCUUUUGCC